Molecule: ribosomal RNA, 870 nt
Filed under: uncultured Pseudomonadota bacterium
Lineage: Bacteria; Pseudomonadati; Pseudomonadota
Description: bacterial SSU rRNA
Rfam family: Bacterial small subunit ribosomal RNA
Source: RNAcentral
AGAGUUUGAUCCUGGCUCAGAAUCAACGCUGGCGGCGUGCCUAACACAUGCAAGUCGAACGAGAAAGGGUAGCAAUACCUGAGUAAAGUGGCGCACGGGUGAGUAACACGUGACUAACCUACCCUGGAGUGGGGGAUAACUGAGGGAAACCUUAGCUAAUACCGCAUAAUACCUACGGGUCAAAGGAGCAAUUCGCUUUGGGAGGGGGUCGCGGCCGAUUAGUUAGUUGGCGGGGUAAUGGCCCACCAAGACUGUGAUCGGUAUCCGGCCUGAGAGGGCGCACGGACACACUGGAACUGAAACACGGUCCAGACUCCUACGGGAGGCAGCAGUGGGGAAUUUUGCGCAAUGGGGGAAACCCUGACGCAGCAACGCCGCGUGGAGGAUGAAGUACUUCGGUACGUAAACUCCUUUCGAUCGGGACGAUAAUGACGGUACCGGAAGAAUAAGCACCGGCUAACUACGUGCCAGCAGCCGCGGUAAUACGUAGGGUGCGAGCGUUAAUCGGAAUUACUGGGCGUAAAGCGUGCGCAGGCGGUUCGUUAAGACAGAUGUGAAAUCCCCGGGCUUAACCUGGGAACUGCAUUUGUGACUGGCGAGCUAGAGUAUGGCAGAGGGGGGUAGAAUUCCACGUGUAGCAGUGAAAUGCGUAGAGAUGUGGAGGAAUACCGAUGGCGAAGGCAGCCCCCUGGGCCAAUACUGACGCUCAUGCACGAAAGCGUGGGGAGCAAACAGAUUAGAUACCCUGGUAGUCCACGCCCUAAACGAUGUCAACUAGUUGUUGGGUCUUCAUUGACUUAGUAACGUAGCUACGCGUGAAGUUGACCGCCUGGGGAGUACGGUCGCAGAUUAAACUCAAAGGAUUGACGG